This is a long non-coding RNA of Bombus impatiens (common eastern bumble bee), 520 nucleotides long. RefSeq lists it as uncharacterized. The transcript has 4 exons. The record is from RefSeq and is a predicted model, not a curated record. NCBI's taxonomy places the organism in Eukaryota, Metazoa, Arthropoda, Insecta, Hymenoptera, Apidae.
ACGCCAUAAGCGAUCGACAAUCGAUAAUUCGAACUGAAACAACAUGAACGUCAUAGAUGAUUAUUAAUAAAUCGUAUCGUUGAUUUUUUAUGCCGAUUUAGCAAUGACUGACGUAUUAUAACAAAGCAGAGUUUUUCAUAAUUUUUACUAUUUCCUGUGCUUUGGGAAGGACGCAGUGAUGCUUCAAAACUAAGCAUGUUUAUCACUCCUUCCUCUUCCUCCUGCUUCCUGAAAAGGACCUAGUGGUGUUUCAAAAGUCAAGAAUUUUUUUCCAUGAUGGGAUUGCAUGACUCCUCCUUGAUAACGGUCUUCACGACGACUUUCCCUGGGCUACCAUAGCAUCGAUGACUACGUUCCUCGCAUCUUAUCGUGAGUCGCAUGCAUUUUUGUCCCUCCGGUCACUCAAUCAUGUCGUAGGACGAAAGGUCCGAAUCGACACGGGUGACUGGUUGUAUUACGUAGAAAUUUUUGCGAGCAUAGUGACCGCGGGUAUUUUUUAUACCCGUGAGUAGUAACAUUC